This 853-nucleotide ribosomal RNA is filed under the name Crossopriza cylindrogaster. RNAcentral's name for it is "eukaryotic LSU rRNA". It matches the Rfam family "Eukaryotic large subunit ribosomal RNA", at positions 354 to 915 of the family's 3401-position model. The record is from RNAcentral. Lineage: Eukaryota; Metazoa; Arthropoda; Arachnida; Araneae; Pholcidae.
UGAGGGAAAGUUGCAAAGAACUUUGAAGAGAGAGUUCAAGAGUACGUGAAACUGCUCAGAGGUAAACGGGUGGGCCCUCGAAAUCCCCUCGCGGGGGGAUUCAGUCGGGAGGUCGCCGGAUGACCACAGUCGCCGGUACGGACGCCGUAGUAGCGUCGGUCCGCGGUCAGAGUCCGGCUUCCGCCCGACGCACUUCCCCCCGCGCUGCGGACGCCGCAGCCCGCUGGGGGCCGGCCAUGAGGACGUGCACCGGCAGGUGACGGGAGGCCCCUCCUCGCGAGUGGGCAGCCCGUUGUUAGCCAGCGCGUUUUCCGGGCGCGGCACCCGGCGGAGGUCGAUGCUCCCUUGUCUCGGGGAGCGAGCCGUCCCCUCGCAGUUCGAGAACUGGCGAGCGGGCCCCGCCUCAGGCGUUAUGCUGGCUGAAGCCGGCGGAACACCCCUCUAGCGGUGACCGCCGGAGCGAGCUCGUCGUUGUAAGUGUGGCGGGCGAUCCGCCCGAGGGUUGAGAUGCCAAAGACGGCUGGCGGCGAGUAGGUCGGUAACCCACCCGACCCGUCUUGAAACACGGACCAAGGAGUCUAACAUGUGCGCAAGUCAAUUGGUCUUGCUCAGGCCUAAGGGCCGAAUGAAAGUGAAGGUCGGGCUUUAGGAACCCGUACCGCGUUGGGAUCCCGCCCUAAAAAAGCGGGCGCACCAACGGCACGUCCGUUCCGAUUUAUCGGUCGGCCGUAGCGUGAGCGUACACGUUGGGACCCGAAAGAUGGUGAACUAUGCGUGGGCAGGGUGAAGUCAGGGGAAACCCUGGUGGAAGCCCGCAGCGGUUCUGACGUGCAAAUCGAUCGUCGGAUCCACG